UUCUUAUCCAGAGAGGUGGAGGGACUGGCCCUUUGAAGCCUCGGCAGCGGGUUUCCGGCAAACGGAAAUACUGUGCCAAUUCCGUCAAGCAGUUAGCUUGGGAGAUAAGAA
Molecule: non-coding RNA, 111 nt
Filed under: Fictibacillus enclensis
Lineage: Bacteria; Bacillati; Bacillota; Bacilli; Caryophanales; Fictibacillaceae
Description: SAM-I sequence
Rfam family: SAM riboswitch aptamer (S box leader)
About the family: The SAM riboswitch is found upstream of a number of genes which code for proteins involved in methionine or cysteine biosynthesis in Gram-positive bacteria. The SAM riboswitch acts at the level of transcription termination control.
Source: Rfam by way of RNAcentral